This 364-nucleotide long non-coding RNA is filed under the name Solanum lycopersicum (tomato). RNAcentral describes it as "long non-coding RNA (SLYC_LNC000589)". The record is from RNAcentral. Lineage: Eukaryota; Viridiplantae; Streptophyta; Magnoliopsida; Solanales; Solanaceae.
ACCUAACACUUCCCUCUCUUUAUGUGCUCUCAUUCACCUGUGAGAUUUAAAUUUAGACUGGUAGUCCUUUGCCUGGGUAUUCAGACCUGGAUUUUGAGAAACAACACUACUGCAACCUGGUAUGCUGUUAUUGCCAUUGGGCAAAAAGGUCAAACCUGGAUUUUGAGAAACAACACUACUGUGGCCUGGUAUGCUAUUAUGUCCAGUGGGCAAAAAGGUCUGAUUUAUUGGCGGUUGCUCUUUGACGACGUGCUCCACCGAUGGAGCACAGUGGUUUGGAGCAUCAUUCAAGUAAAAACUGGAAGUGUUGAAUAAUGGCAGUUCAAAACAUCCAUCAUCGGCCUGCGUGUAGGAAGUAUUGUAU